Molecule: ribosomal RNA, 2452 nt
Filed under: activated sludge metagenome
Description: bacterial LSU rRNA
Rfam family: Bacterial large subunit ribosomal RNA
Source: RNAcentral
CGUAUCCUUACGCUGAAUCCAUAGGCGUUUGGAAGCCAACUCGGGGAACUGAACCAUCUCAGUACCCGGAGGAACAGAAAUCAACCGAGAUUCCCUCAGUAGCGGCGAGCGAACGGGGAACAGCCUAAACCGGCCACUCCGCAAGGGGCGACCGGGGUCGUGGGACGGGUCACACGGAGUUACAAAUCUUUUCUAUAGCCGAAUCUUCUGGAAUGUUGAGCCAAAGAAGGUGAAAGCCCUGUACGCGAAAUGGAAAAGACUCCGACCCUGUUCCCGAGUACCACGGAGCACGUGAAACUCUGUGGGAAUCUAGGGGGACCACCCUCUAAGGCUAAAUACUCGCUUGUGACCGAUAGUGAACUAGUACCGUGAGGGAAAGGUGAGAAGAACCCCAGGUGGGGAGUAGCAGAACCUGAAACCGUGUGCUUACAAACAGUCGGAGCUUCGACCUUGCCCUCGGGCAUGGAAUGAGGUGACGGCGUGCCUUUUGCAUAAGGAGCCGGCGAGUUACUGGUACGUGGCAAGGUUAAGUCGCUCAGCGACGAAGCCGCAGCGAAAGCGAGUCCGAACAGGGCGUUGAGUCACGUGCCGUAGACCCGAAGCCAGGUGAUCUAUCCAUGGCCAGGUUGAAACCCCGGUAAGACGGGGUGGAGGACCGAACGGCAAAGUGUUGAAAAACUUUCCGAUGAGCUGUGGAUAGGGGUGAAAGGCUAAUCAAACCUGGAGAUAGCUGGUUCUCCCCGAAAUGCCUUUAGGGGCAGCCUCGCGUUAAGCUGUACGGGGGUAGAGCACUGGAUGGGCACGGGGUCCUACAAGACUACCAACCCCAACCAAACUCCGAAUACCGUUCAUGUGUUUCGCGGGAGUGAGGCUGCGAGGGAUAAGCUUCGUAGCCGUGAGGGAAACAACCCAGACCAUCAGCUAAGGCCCCAAAGUCAAUGCUAAGUGGCUAAGGAUGUGGGAUCGUUUUGACAGCCAGGAUGUUGGCUUAGAAGCAGCCAUACAUUUAAAGAGUGCGUAAUUGCUCACUGGUCUACAUGGCCCCGCGCCGAUAAUACUUGGGACUAAGCAUUGCGCCGAAGCUAUGGGAUGCUCGCAAGAGCAUCGGUAGGGGAGCGUUCUGUGCUGGGCGAAGGUAUCCCGUGAGGGGUGCUGGACGGCACAGAAGUGAUCAUGCCGGCAUGAGUAGCGAUAACGCAAGUGAGAACCUUGCGCACCGAAAGUCUAAGGUUUCCCGGGGAAGGCCAGUCCGCCCGGGGUUAGUCGGUCCCUAAGCCGAGGCCGAGAGGCGUAGGCGAUGGAAAGCAGGUAAAAUAUUCCUGCACUUGGAAACGGGCGACAAAGAAUCGUGAGGGGGGACGCAGAGGUGAAAGGUCAGCCACCGAUUGGAAAUGGUGGUCGAAGCCUGUAGGAGGACCGGGUAGGCAAAUCCGUCCGGUCUUAACUCUGAAGGGUGAUAGGGAAGUGAGCCUUCGGGCAAGCCAACUGACCCUAAACGUGCUGCCAAGAAAAGCCUCGCACGAGAGUUCGUUUUCAAACCGUACCGCAAACCGACACAGGUAGACGGGGAGAGAAUCCUAAGGUGCACGAGUGAUGCGCGGUCAAGGAACUCGGCCAAUUGUCUCCGUAACUUCGGGAGAAGGAGAGCCUGCGCAAGCAGGCCGCAGAGAAUCGGCCCUGGCGACUGUUUACCAAAAACACAGGUCUCUGCGAACACGUAAGUGGACGUAUAGGGACUGACACCUGCCCGGUGCUGGGAUGUUAAGGGGUGGUGUUAGCGCAAGCGAAGCACUAAACCGAAGCACCAGUAAACGGCGGCCGUAACUAUAACGGUCCUAAGGUAGCGAAAUUCCUUGUCGGGUAAGUUCCGACCUGCACGAAUGGUGUAACGAUCAGGGCACUGUCUCGACCGCGUGCUCGGCGAAAUUGUAAUUCCGGUGAAGAUGCCGGAUACCCGCAGCUGGACGGAAAGACCCCGUGAACCUUUACUGCAGCUUGCCAUUGGGUUUUGACUCAUCAUGCGUAGGAUAGGUGGGAGGCUUUGAACUGGGAGCUCCGGCUUCCAGGGAGCCAACCUUGAAAUACCACCCUUGGUGUGUUGAAAUUCUAACUUUGCACCGUAAUCCGGUGCUGGGACAGUGGCUGGUGGGUAGUUUGACUGGGGCGGUCGCCUCCCAAAGAGUAACGGAGGCUCCCAAAGGUACCCUCAGGCUGGUCGGUAAUCAGCCGUUGAGUGUAAAUGCAUAAGGGUGCUUGACUGUGAGACACACACGUCGAUCAGGAGCGAAAGCUGGGAUUAGUGAUCUUGUGGUUGGUUGUGGAACCGCCAUGACUUAAAGGAUAAAAGGUACUCCGGGGAUAACAGGCUGAUCUCGCCCGGGAGUUCACAUCCACGGCGAGGUUUGGCACCUCGAUGUCGGCUCAUCGCAUCCUGGGGCUGGAGCAGGUCCCA